GACAUAAAAAAUAAAAUACAAAAGAUUAAAACUGCUACACCUCUUCUCCCACGAUCUCCACUUCGCCUUAAUUCGCUCAAUUAUGGAACAACAAGCUGAUUUCAUACAAAAGCUCUCAAUCUCUUCCUUUUCUCAUCCCUCUUUCUGCUUCCUUUAAUCGGGAUUACUUCUCUUCAACAACUGCUUCGACUCCCGCACGACCACGAUUCCCACAACAUGAUAUCAUACAAAAGCUUCAGUAUCUCUUCCUUUCCUAUUUCCGGUUUCCUCCAACUUUUCCGGUUUACAUGGUUGGCGGUUCCAGCACCACAACACCGGACCACAAUGACACUUCUCCCUUCCUCUGUCUUCCAAUCUUCGUUUCUUCUACAAGUUCUUUAGUUUGCUACUGAAGUUUCAAGGAAUUUUGGGUGUUUUAUGUCAUUUAUGUAGUUGUAUAGUAAAUUUGGAACAUGGAUAGGUUUUCUUCUGACAUUUAAGCCUCGGGUUAGAGUGUGAAUGAUUCAUCUCUCUUAGUUUGGUUUGAGAUUGACAUGUAAGCUUACAAGGUUUGAUUCUGAGACUGAAUGGUCGUGUUUGCAGGGUAUUGAUUUGAUCGCUGAAGGUAAUAGAAAAAAGACCAAAAGGACAGCUCCAAAGUGAGAUGAUGUCUACCCUAAGCUUAUUGUCAAGGUUACAAAUUCAGCAACGAUCUCUCUCCUUUGUUUUUGUUUCCCUUAUUUAAAGUGGCUUUUAAUUGGGUGAGUCUUAGUGAGUAUAAGAUUUAUUUUGAAGUUUUGUAGCUUUACCGUUUUCUGGUAAGGAGAACUCAGAGCAAGUUCAAUUUUGUGUGAUAUUGAAGAGGCUUUUCUCUAUCUAAGCUUGUGGAAUGCGUGACUGGCAAGGUUUUAAUAACACCUUUGCUGAAAUUUAAACACUCGGUGGAUGAUUUAACUCUGUUGGAGAUGGAGAGCAUGAGGUCGGUCGGCCGCGAUGAGACUGAGAAUCAUAUUAGAAGAUAAAGAUGAUUGUUUGAUGAAAGAAGACAAAGAAAUAUUAUUUAUUUUUUAUGUUAAAAUUCACCAUGUUUAAUUAGGUCGUGCGUUCGGGCCAUGACACUAGUACUUGUUAAGUUACUGUAACUAUAAAACCCUUAAAUCUUUUGUAUUUAAUAUUCAUCACUAAAA
This is a non-coding RNA of Camelina sativa (false flax), 1166 nucleotides long. The record is from RefSeq and is a predicted model, not a curated record. NCBI's taxonomy places the organism in Eukaryota, Viridiplantae, Streptophyta, Magnoliopsida, Brassicales, Brassicaceae.